AUACCUUUCUCGGCCUUUUGGCUAAGAUCAAGUGUAGUAUCUGUUCUUAUCAGUUUAAUAUCUGAUAUGUAGGCCAUCGGCUCACAUGAUAUUAACUCUAUUUUUUAAGGGAGAAAACCCGUUAAGAUAGCUUGCUAUCUGGGCUUUCACGAGUCGUCCAUGCGUAGCACUACUGCACGGGCCUGGCUCAACCCGC
This 196-nucleotide small nuclear RNA is filed under the name Arabidopsis halleri subsp. gemmifera. RNAcentral's name for it is "snRNA U2". It matches the Rfam family "U2 spliceosomal RNA". From Rfam's summary of the family: U2 is a small nuclear RNA (snRNA) component of the spliceosome (involved in pre-mRNA splicing). The record is from RNAcentral. Lineage: Eukaryota; Viridiplantae; Streptophyta; Magnoliopsida; Brassicales; Brassicaceae.